CAGGCUAAAGCUUUAUGAAGCGUUUUACUUACAUUAAAAAGAUUGUUUAUUAUGAAUAUAGCCUGA
Molecule: transfer RNA, 66 nt
Filed under: Scolytinae sp. BMNH 1039994
Lineage: Eukaryota; Metazoa; Arthropoda; Insecta; Coleoptera; Curculionidae
Description: tRNA-Val
Source: RNAcentral